This 263-nucleotide ribosomal RNA is filed under the name uncultured bacterium. RNAcentral describes it as "partial 16S ribosomal RNA". It matches the Rfam family "Bacterial small subunit ribosomal RNA", at positions 524 to 787 of the family's 1533-position model. The record is from RNAcentral.
UACGUAGGGGGCAAGCGUUGUCCGGAAUUAUUGGGCGUAAAGCGCGCGCAGGCGGUUUGAUAAGUCUGGUGUAUAACCCCAAGGCUCAACCUUGGAUGGCACUUGAAACUGUCAGACUAGAGUGCAGGAGAGGAAAGCGGAAUUCCACGUGUAGCGGUGAAAUGCGUAGAUAUGUGGAGGAACACCAGUGGCGAAGGCGGCUUUCUGGACUGUAACUGACGCUGAGGCGCGAAAGCGUGGGGAGCAAACAGGAUUAGAUACCC